Molecule: unclassified non-coding RNA, 372 nt
Filed under: Acacia salicina
Lineage: Eukaryota; Viridiplantae; Streptophyta; Magnoliopsida; Fabales; Fabaceae
Description: partial external transcribed spacer
Source: RNAcentral
CCGUCCACCGAACGGCCGGCAGGCGAUCCGCGUCGGUCGCGCGAGGUGGUGUUAUGUAUGGUUACCCAGAGGCCGGUUCUUGUGCUGCCUACCCCUUCAGGGGAAGCACGGGCCACUUGAUGUAAGCCUCCAUCCGGCGCCCUCCAACGGGCGUCGGAGGACAGCGGAGCACCCCCCGCGUUCCACCGAGCCCUCGUCGGUCGCGUGGCCCGCGGGGACGUGCGAUGCUCUCGGACCCAGCGCACGCCGCGGGGCGAGGACUCACGUCCCAGCCCCAAGAGAAGCUCCGACCCAACGAUGACGGCCCGUUCCGGCCCCCGUCCGCCCCGGCGGCGCGGGGGCGCGGCGCGGCGUCUGUGAGGAAUGCUACCU